AGCAUCGGCCUGGAAUCGAACCCGGGCCGCCCGCUUGGCAGGCGAGCAUUCUACCACUGAACCACCGAUGG
This 71-nucleotide transfer RNA is filed under the name Cordylochernes scorpioides. Its description in RNAcentral is "tRNA-Gly". Lineage: Eukaryota; Metazoa; Arthropoda; Arachnida; Pseudoscorpiones; Chernetidae. The record is from RNAcentral.